GACAGAGGGUGCAAACGUUGUUCGGAAUUACUGGGCGUAAAGCGCGUGCAGGCGGCCUUGCAAGUCGGACGUGAAAUCCCACGGCUCAACCGUGGAAGUGCAUUCGAAACUGCGAGGCUGGAGUCCUGGAGAGGAAAGUGGAAUACUCGGUGUAGAGGUGAAAUUCGUAGAUAUCGGGAGGAACACCGGUGGCGAAGGCGGCGACCUGGGUAGAUACUGACGCUGAGGUGCGAAAGCGUGGGGAGCAAACAGG
This 253-nucleotide ribosomal RNA is filed under the name uncultured bacterium. RNAcentral describes it as "partial 16S ribosomal RNA". It matches the Rfam family "Bacterial small subunit ribosomal RNA", at positions 524 to 776 of the family's 1533-position model. The record is from RNAcentral.